This 427-nucleotide ribosomal RNA is filed under the name uncultured bacterium. RNAcentral's name for it is "bacterial SSU rRNA". It matches the Rfam family "Bacterial small subunit ribosomal RNA", at positions 354 to 796 of the family's 1533-position model. The record is from RNAcentral.
GUGGGGAAUAUUGCACAAUGGGGGAAACCCUGAUGCAGCGACGCCGCGUGAGCGAAGAAGUAUUUCGGUAUGUAAAGCUCUAUCAGCAGGGAAGAAGAAAUGACGGUACCUGACUAAGAAGCCCCGGCUAACUACGUGCCAGCAGCCGCGGUAAUACGUAGGGGGCAAGCGUUAUCCGGAUUUACUGGGUGUAAAGGGAGCGUAGGCGGCAUGGCAAGUCUGAUGUGAAAACCCAGGGCUCAACCCUGGGACUGCAUUGGAAACUGUCAAGCUGGAGUGUCGGAGAGGUAAGCGGAAUUCCUAGUGUAGCGGUGAAAUGCGUAGAUAUUAGGAGGAACACCAGUGGCGAAGGCGGCUUACUGGACGAUGACUGACGCUGAGGCUCGAAAGCGUGGGGAGCAAACAGGAUUAGAAACCCUAGUAGUCC